Molecule: long non-coding RNA, 568 nt
Filed under: Monodelphis domestica (gray short-tailed opossum)
Lineage: Eukaryota; Metazoa; Chordata; Mammalia; Didelphimorphia; Didelphidae
Description: lncRNA (ENSMODG00000034892.2)
Source: RNAcentral
AGCCGGAGUCAGGGGGAUUUUCCAACUGCCAAAGGACUCCUGGAUAUUUUGUUUUGUUUUGUUUUUCCCUAGGAGGAGGUUGGUGUUUCUCUUCCCUGGAACACUGAAAAAACCUAGAGGCCACAGAAUGAGUACUGAGAGUAUCUACUCUUAGAUCCUCCUCAUGAAGGAGGUAGACAGCUACCAACUGAAGAAACUCAGGCCAUCAUAGCACUCCCAAACUUCUGACCAGAAACCAAAGCUUCCAGACGUCUGAUUGAGAAAACAAAGAUUUACCAAACUCAGGGAGAAGAAAAACAAAAAUAAAAAACAGCAACAACCCAUAUUCUCAUCUACCCAGAAAAAAAGACAAGAUUCACCUAGACAGGAAACAGCUUAAUGGAGUUUUCUUGGAUGACUUUACUACCAAAGAUGACUCCAGCAUAUUGACUAAACAAAGACUGUGAAUCAUAGUCCAAAUAGAUUUGGUGGAAAUUAAUUCAUUAAUAUUCAACAUUAAUUAAUGUUCCAUAGAUAUGAGACAUAUUUUGCUGAUUUUUAAAAUAAAACAUAGUCCUAAAGAAUCCCA